Molecule: ribosomal RNA, 450 nt
Filed under: uncultured bacterium
Lineage: Bacteria
Description: partial 16S ribosomal RNA
Rfam family: Bacterial small subunit ribosomal RNA
Source: RNAcentral
GUGGGGAAUAUUGGACAAUGGGCGAAAGCCUGAUCCAGCCAUGCCGCGUGUGUGAAGAAGGUCUUCGGAUUGUAAAGCACUUUAAGUUGGGAGGAAGGGCAGUAAGUUAAUACCUUGCUGUUUUGACGUUACCGACAGAAUAAGCACCGGCUAACUUCGUGCCAGCAGCCGCGGUAAUACGCAGGGUGCAAGCGUUAAUCGGAAUUACUGGGCGUAAAGCGCGCGUAGGUGGUUUUGUAAGUUGGAGGUGAAAGCCCCGGGCUCAACCUGGGAACUGCCUCCAAAACUGCAUGACUAGAGUACGGUAGAGGGUAGUGGAAUUUCCUGUGUAGCGGUGAAAUGCGUAGAUAUAGGAAGGAACACCAGUGGCGAAGGCGACUACCUGGACUGAUACUGACACUGAGGUGCGAAAGCGUGGGGAGCAAACAGGAUUAGAAACCCUUGUAGUCC